GACGAACGCUGGCGGCGCGCUUAACACAUGCAAGUCGAACGGAAAGGCCUGCUUUCCCUUGUGGAUUGCGGGUACUCGCGUGGCGAACGGGUGAGUAACACGUGAGUUAUCUGCCCCCAACUUUGGUAUAAGCCUGGGAAACUGGGUCUAAUUCCCGAUAGGACUGCAGGGUGGUGCCUGUGGUGGAAAACGAUUUUCUAGUGGUUGGGGAUGAGCUCGCGGCCUAUCAGCUUGUUGGUGGGGUAAUGGCCUACCAAGGCGGCGACGGGUAGCCUGCCUGGGAGGGUGGACGGCAGCAUUGGGACUGAGAUACGGCCCAGACUCCAACGGGAGGCAGCAGUGGGGAAUAUGGAACGAUGGGCGGAAGCCUGAUGCAGCGACGCCGAGUGGGGGAUGACGGCCUUCGGGUUGUAAACUCCUUUCGGCCGCGAGGAAGCCACCUGGUUGGAAGGGUGGUGACGGUAGUGGUAGAAGAAGCACCGGCUAACUACGUG
This 494-nucleotide ribosomal RNA is filed under the name uncultured bacterium. Its description in RNAcentral is "partial 16S ribosomal RNA". It matches the Rfam family "Bacterial small subunit ribosomal RNA", at positions 28 to 507 of the family's 1533-position model. The record is from RNAcentral.